Molecule: long non-coding RNA, 386 nt
Organism: Homo sapiens (human)
Lineage: Eukaryota; Metazoa; Chordata; Mammalia; Primates; Hominidae
Exons: 4
Source: RefSeq, a predicted model, not a curated record
CCUUGCUCAUAACCAGCCCAGGAGGAUGUAACCCUCUAUGAGUCCUGUCUGUACUCAGGAGGGUUUCAAUGGGAUGAGUUUCCUGCCAACACUUGACAACAAUAUCCGUGCUGGGUCAUGGCAGUUUGAUUGGACAUCAGGGAGAAAAAGGCUCAAACGGGCCACCCAAGACCUCAGCAUGAGACAGUGAACAUGAUAUGCAAAGCUAGAACUCUAAAGGCAAAGGCCUUCCAGGAAGUUGCUGCCCUGUGGGACCUUAGCCUUCUUUCCAGAACCACUGAAUGAUUUCUGCCAUGUUUCUAUGAAGCUGACACACCUGUUUUGAAUAACAAUUUGCCGGUGCCUCUGGAUUUCCAGACAAAAGAACUUGUGAAGAUACAGGAGGA